This 384-nucleotide ribosomal RNA is filed under the name uncultured bacterium. RNAcentral describes it as "bacterial SSU rRNA". It matches the Rfam family "Bacterial small subunit ribosomal RNA", at positions 370 to 772 of the family's 1533-position model. The record is from RNAcentral.
AAUGGGGGAAACCCUGAUGCAGCAACGCCGCGUGAAGGAAGAAGGCCCUUGGGUCGUAAACUUCUUUUCUAAGGGAAGAUAAUGACGGUACCUUAGGAACAAGUCCCGGCUAACUACGUGCCAGCAGCCGCGGUAAUACGUAGGGGGCGAGCGUUAUCCGGAAUUAUUGGGCGUAAAGAGUACGUAGGUGGUUUCCUAAGCAUGGGGUUUAAGGCAAUGGCUCAACUGUUGUUCGCCCUAUGAACUGGGUUACUUGAGUGCUGGAGGGGAAAGCGGAAUUCCUAGUGUAGCGGUGAAAUGCGUAGAUAUUAGGAGGAACACCAGUGGCGAAGGCGGCUUUCUGGACAGUAACUGACACUGAGGUACGAAAGUGUGGGGAGCAAA